UUAUGGCUCAGGAUGAACGCUAGCUACAGGCUUAACACAUGCAAGUCGAGGGGCAGCAUGAUCUGUGCUUGCACAGAUGAUGGCGACCGGCGCACGGGUGAGUAACGCGUAUCCAACCUUCCCCUUAGUAGGGCAUAGCCCGGCGAAAGUCGGAUUAAUACCCUAUGUUUUCCAAUGAGGACAUCUGAGCUGGAAUAAAGAUUCAUCGCUAAGGGAUGGGGAUGCGUCCGAUUAGGUUGUUGGCGGGUAACGGCCCACCUGGCCGACGAUCAGUAGGGGUUCUGAGAGGAAGGUCCCCCACAUUGGAACUGAGACACGGUCCAAACUCCUACGGGAGGCAGCAGUGAGGAAUAUUGGUCAAUGGUCGAGAGACUGAACCAGCCAAGUAGCGUGCAGGAUGACGGCCCUAUGGGUUGUAAACUGCUUUUAUGCGGGGAUAAAGUGAGGGACGUGUCCCUUUUUGUAGGUACCGCAUGAAUAAGGACCGGCUAAUUCCGUGCCAGCAGCAGC
RNAcentral lists this ribosomal RNA (510 nucleotides) under uncultured bacterium. Its description in RNAcentral is "bacterial SSU rRNA". It matches the Rfam family "Bacterial small subunit ribosomal RNA", at positions 17 to 518 of the family's 1533-position model. The record is from RNAcentral.